AACCCAUGGUGAGGGCACCUUCUUAAUAAAUCUUUGUAUCUCUCCUAUGCAUCAUAAAGUAUUUCUAAAUCAAUCUACACAAAAGAAGAGAUAUCAUUCAUCAAUUU
Gossypium hirsutum (cotton) is the source of this 107-nucleotide non-coding RNA. Lineage: Eukaryota; Viridiplantae; Streptophyta; Magnoliopsida; Malvales; Malvaceae. The record is from Rfam.